AUAAGGGGUACAGGAUAUAGAGUGAGUAUAGGAUAUAGAGUGUAUAAGGGGUAUAGGAUAUAUAGUGUAUAAGGGGUAUAGGAUAUAUAGUGUAUAAGGGUUAUAGGAUAUAGAGUGUAUAAGGGGUAUAGGAUAUAUUGUAUAUAAGGGGUAUAGGAUAUAUAGUAUAUAAGGGGUAUAGGAUAUAGAGUAUAUAAGGGGUAUAGGAUAUAGAGUGUAUAACAGGUAUAGGAUAUAGAGUGUAUAACGGGUAUAGGAUAUAGAGUAUAUAAGGGGUAUAGGAUAUAUAGUGUAUAACAGGUGUAGGCUAUAGAGUGUAUAAG
Molecule: long non-coding RNA, 323 nt
Organism: Ictalurus punctatus (channel catfish)
Lineage: Eukaryota; Metazoa; Chordata; Actinopteri; Siluriformes; Ictaluridae
Source: Ensembl